RNAcentral lists this ribosomal RNA (427 nucleotides) under uncultured bacterium. RNAcentral's name for it is "bacterial SSU rRNA". It matches the Rfam family "Bacterial small subunit ribosomal RNA", at positions 355 to 774 of the family's 1533-position model. The record is from RNAcentral.
UGGGGAAUUUUGGACAAUGGGCGCAAGCCUGAUCCAGCCAUGCCGCGUGAGUGAAGAAGGCCUUCGGGUUGUAAAGCUCUUUCGGCGGGGAAGAAAUGGCACGCUCUAACAUAGCGUGUUGAUGACGGUACCCGCAUAAGAAGCACCGGCUAACUACGUGCCAGCAGCCGCGGUAAUACGUAGGGUGCGAGCGUUAAUCGGAAUUACUGGGCGUAAAGCGUGCGCAGGCGGUUUCGUAAGACAGAGGUGAAAUCCCCGGGCUCAACCUGGGAAUGGCCUUUGUGACUGCGAGGCGAGAGUGUGACAGAGGGGGGUAGAAUUCCACGUGUAGCAGUGGAAUGCGUAGAGAUGUGGAGGAAUACCGAUGGCGAAGGCAGCCCCCUGGGUUACUACUGACGCUCAUGCACGAAAGCGUGGGGAGCAAACA